CGGCAGCGUAGUCCUGCCCUUCACCAAAGGCCCUUUCCCCACCCUGCAGUGCGCUGUAUGCCCAGUGCCUCCAGCUGGUGGCUUGGAAGAGCUGCAGGCUGCAGACAGGGCUCUGUGGAGCUGCACUAGCAGCAGAAGCAGCAGCUGCGCCUGCUGCAGUGUUCAUGAUCUGACCAGCUGCUUGGUAGCAGGUGUUCCACAGCAUAUCAUGCAUAGUCAAGUGGGCCUGCAACUGGGAUGUGAGAAGACGAGUGGCCUGCACAUUGUGACUGUGCCUAUGGGCUUUGAAGUCCUGUGGCACUGAUGUCUCGUGCAUGCUUCUGUCAAGGUGCCUUUUGUUUCUUCCCUGUGCUGCAAGUCAGCUACAGCUCUGCCCAGGUAUUUCAGCAGGGAUGCGUGAGGGGCUAACCUUGCCGUUCAUGGCUUAAAGCCACACAUAAUACUGAAGGUGCAGGGCCAAAAGUGCCUGAGUUUCCACAGCCUCAGUGAGGGUAGAGCAACCGAACUACAGGGCUCAAAGGCCCAGACUCUGCAGGGGCUCUUUGGAAGGGACAUUUUCUAA
Molecule: long non-coding RNA, 562 nt
Organism: Oxyura jamaicensis (ruddy duck)
Lineage: Eukaryota; Metazoa; Chordata; Aves; Anseriformes; Anatidae
Exons: 2
Source: RefSeq, a predicted model, not a curated record